ACUCUAUGUGCUGUUUGCUGUCUACGGUCUGAUUCUGUGAGCUGCAGCUGACCACGCCCCCCUGCAGGAGAGGGGGGCGUGACACGGCCCCGGCACGAGUGUCAUGUUACCAUGCCGGCCCCGGCACGAGUGUCAUGUUACCAUGCCGGCCCCGGCACGAGUGUCAUGUUACCAUGCCGGCCCUGGCACGAGUGUCAUGUUACCAUGCCGGCCCCGGCACGAGUGUCAUGUUACCAUGCUUGCUGUGAUUAGAGUGGAGAAUAAACAUGUUAUCUCAGAGCAAUGCAUGUGUUCAAGCAUAUUACAAAUUUGAUCCAGAAUCUGACUCUGAAGAAGCGGAGGUUUCGGUGGAGGUGCAAACAUCUCGGUUGCAGCAGGACGUUUCUGAAUGGUUAGUUGACAAGCUAUUUGUUACGAUGCUUGCUAAUUAUUCCGUUUCCGUUCAUAUUUUGGCUAAUUAGCAAGAAUGCAAUGUGUACAGUUUGUAACAUAGAGUUUGUAACGCAAAAACAGCGGUACAUAUAUAUAUUUACAUAGGGAGACAUUCAUCUUUUCAGCAAUGGCCUCAUUGCGUUUAUUAAUAAUAUACAGUCCUUUUCUUCCAACAUCGUGCAACAACUGUUACCGUUGGAAAGUUCAAUAACUUAGGGUCAUAAAAAGUAUAACUCCAGAUGCUUAAACACCUCAGUUGUCAGCAAUGUGUGUAUUUUCAUAUGUGUUUUUAAAAGCUCAGUUAUUGACUUCUUUCUACAGGUGUACAUGUGCAAAUUACGCUGCAAUGCCAUCUGAACCAGAGAAUGUGUGCUGAAUGGAGAUACUGUACCACAGGUGUCAAGACGGAUGCAGGAACUUGAGCUCUCUGUGCCUUGUAUGGUGGACCAUCCUGGUUUGGAGCCUGUGUGCCUAAAUGUGUUCUCCCUGCAGAAUGCUUUCAAUAUAUACAGAGCUGAACAUGGGAGACUACAGAUGAGGCAAAUACAGCAACAGAGAGCAGGGUCUACGGUCUCCAUGUGGUCUCUGAAGAGUGACGGGUCUAAAGCGGAACCUCCAUACUUCAGUAAUGAACCUGGACCCUCAGACACAAAGUCCCAUGGGGCGGAAGUAGAUGGGCGUGACUUCGCCACUCUAUAGUCAGGUCAAACCAGAUGACUGUGGGGCUAACGGUCCGUGUCGCUACCAGUCCCUGACAUGGCGCGUCAAUCAACGAACGAAGACAUUGAAACUGCGGUGAGAAAUCUCCUCGGCUGCAUCGGGAGAAAUGUGCGGGGUGGUAACCCCGCCGAUUUCGGGCAGUUCUCCUGGAACUAUAGGCCAGUAGAGCCUCAAGCACGGUCAAGUGCUGCUAGUUCGGUUGGGGUCAGCCAGCCCGUUCAUCAGAGAACAGUCCAGCAGGAGAUGCUAAGAUCCUUUCCAGGAAUAUAUUCUGGAAGCAGGACACGGAAUAAAAGAAAGGCACCUGAAGCUCUUAGACCACCAUCAUCCAUAAAGAUGUUAGAGCUUCAGUUCUGCCUGCAUCCUGAAAACAUCGAUAGGACUCCUCGAGAUGAGACCGUUCUGCUGCAGGCAGGUCUAGGAAGGAGAACAGUGAAUCUUGCAGAUGAUGCUGAUCAUGCAGAGAUAACCAGGGUGCUACUUCAAGAAUACCCCAAAUUAAGACGAUUGCGUGGAGGUUGGCUUCUCCAAAAAGCAACAGGAGGCAGUGGUCAAAGAAAGAUAACACCACUCCCACAGGGUUCCCAGGGGUACACAGCCAAAAUGCUGAAGUCCUCCUCAAAUAAUGGGAAAAACAUAAUCCACAUUGUACCACUUCAAGAUACCAUGGACACGACUGCCUUGCCAUAUGACGCACCGGAAUUCGAGAAUAUGCCCAAAAAUGACUGCAUGACCUGUGGCAAAUCAGUUCCUCUUCAGUUGCUGCCUUUGCACAUCAGAACAUGUCAGUGUGAUGAUAUACUGAUGCAGAAGAGGAGAAAUGGCAAGAUCCAGAUGUCAUUUGUAUGGAUUCCUGCCCAAUAUGCGGAGAGCGGUUUGCUGCUGAGGUGAUGUCCCUCCAUGCAAGUUCAUGUGGAGAAAGGUAUUGUCAACCUGUCACUGGAUAUAACUACUAGUUGACACUUAAUAUUUCCCAAUUACAAGUGCUGCUCCAGCAGACCAACUCAACAACUAAGAACCAGCGACAGUAAGGGUCGACUGUCUCACUGACACACUCCGCUGAAGAUUCAACAUGUUUAGUGUAACUACUGCUAACGGUACAAGGUUAGAAAGAAAAAAAACAGGCUGACUGUUAUUCAUGAAGAGUAGGGGUGGGAAUCUCUGGCCACCUCACCAUUAGAUAUUAUUAAAAUUUAGAAGACUGAUACUAAUAAAUACAAAAAAUUCUAAAUGAGUUUUCAUUGAUGGAUUGCCCAACUGCGGAUGAAUCUGAGGAAAGCACUUCAGUACCAGAAGAUUCCACACCUACUUUUACUGGAAGUAACAAUGCCAGCCCACAUCACAUGGUUCUGGCUACUUGGCACCUGGCACAUCUCAAACCAUUCUACCAAGAACAGUACCUUCAAUAGCUGACGCCUGGAAAAGGGUGGAAGUUCCAGAAAGGGCAGCGAUGCUAUACAAAAGGAAUUUGCUUCAGCAAAAAGAAGAUGAACCAAUGCUGAAAAUGUGUUUAGACAUGAAAGAGGACAUUGAGGAUCAGGAAGCAAGAAUUAUCACCUUUUACAAGGUCCACAACGCAGAUUGGGCCAGACCACUCCAAUGCAGAUUGGAAGGUGAUGCAGCUACUGGUGAGGGCGUGAAACGCCAUUUCUUAAGCAUGAUGAUGACCAAGUUGCACAAGGGAUUCAAAGGAAAUUUUGGCA
This is an RNA transcript of Trematomus bernacchii (emerald rockcod), 2855 nucleotides long. It is a transcript of the gene named G2/M phase-specific E3 ubiquitin-protein ligase-like, with no coding region annotated. The transcript has 13 exons. NCBI's taxonomy places the organism in Eukaryota, Metazoa, Chordata, Actinopteri, Perciformes, Nototheniidae. The record is from RefSeq and is a predicted model, not a curated record.